CGAACGAAGCACUUUACCUGAUUUCCUUCGGGGAUGAUUGUUCUGUGACUGAGUGGCGGACGGGUGAGUAACGCGUGGAUAACCUGCCUCACACAGGGGGAUAACAGUUGGAAACGACUGCUAAUACCGCAUAAGCGCACAGCACCGCAUGGUGCAGUGUGAAAAACUCCGGUGGUGUGAGAUGGAUCCGCGUCUGAUUAGCUGGUUGGCGGGGUAACGGCCCACCAAGGCGACGAUCAGUAGCCGGCCUGAGAGGGCGACCGGCCACAUUGGGACUGAGACACGGCCCAGACUCCUACGGGAGGCAGCAGGGGGGAAUAUUGCACAAUGGGGGAAACCCUGAUGCAGCGACGCCGCGUGAGCGAUGAAGUAUUUCGGUAUGUAAAGCUCUAUCAGCAGGGAAGAUAAUGACGGUACCUGACUAAGAAGCUCCGGCUAAAUACGUGCCAGCAGCCGCGGUAAUACGUAUGGAGCAAGCGUUAUCCGGAUUUACUGGGUGUAAAGGGAGCGUAGGCGGUCCUGCAAGUCUGAUGUGAAAGGCCGGGGCUCAACCCCGGGACUGCAUUGGAAACUGUAGGACUAGAGUGUCGGAGGGGUAAGUGGAAUUCCUAGUGUAGCGGUGAAAUGCGUAGAUAUUAGGAGGAAC
This 646-nucleotide ribosomal RNA is filed under the name uncultured Lachnospiraceae bacterium. RNAcentral's name for it is "bacterial SSU rRNA". It matches the Rfam family "Bacterial small subunit ribosomal RNA", at positions 63 to 707 of the family's 1533-position model. Lineage: Bacteria; Bacillati; Bacillota; Clostridia; Lachnospirales; Lachnospiraceae. The record is from RNAcentral.